RNAcentral lists this ribosomal RNA (259 nucleotides) under Mus cf. gratus TA-2014. RNAcentral's name for it is "partial large subunit ribosomal RNA". It matches the Rfam family "Bacterial large subunit ribosomal RNA", at positions 2349 to 2623 of the family's 2925-position model. The record is from RNAcentral. Lineage: Eukaryota; Metazoa; Chordata; Mammalia; Rodentia; Muridae.
GAACAAAUAAUCCUCCGAAUGAUUAUAGCAAAGACUCACAAGUCAAAGCAACACUAGUAUCUUAUUGACCCAAAAAUAUUUUGAUCAACGGACCAAGUUACCCUAGGGAUAACAGCGCAAUCCUAUUUAAGAGUUCAUAUCGACAAUUAGGGUUUACGACCUCGAUGUUGGAUCAGGACAUCCCAAUGGUGCAGAAGCUAUUAAUGGUUCGUUUGUUCAACGAUUAAAGUCCUACGUGAUCUGAGUUCAGACCGGAGUA